Xyrichtys novacula (pearly razorfish) is the source of this 420-nucleotide non-coding RNA. Lineage: Eukaryota; Metazoa; Chordata; Actinopteri; Labriformes; Labridae. The record is from the annotation of a GenBank genome assembly.
AGUUUAGCCGGUGUGGUAUCUGGAGUACAGCAUCAACAUACCAGGCCGAGGUAUUUCCCAAAGUUACAUGAACUAAUCAAAGUGUGGAUUGUAGACACUGGGUCACCUGGCUGUUGAGUGCUUGUAGAGCACAGGUCACAGUUCACAGGUCACGAUUCCAGACUAGAUAAACAACAAACAAACAGAUGAUAACGAAAAGAUAGCUGGGGAACAAAGAGAGGAUGACCCUAUAUAACAGGAUUACAAACUGUGGUCAGGGAGAGCUGGACAUCAUUGGCAGUCCUCUCCCAGCAACUGCAGUGCUGUAUUGAUACUGGUUUUGUCUUUAUAAUAAACUCCUCUUAUACAAGCAAGCCAGUGUCACGAAGCCUCCUUCUGCAUCUACACAUCGAGGACAGCCCAGACACAACAAAUUGGCGC